Molecule: small nucleolar RNA, 67 nt
Organism: Otolemur garnettii (small-eared galago)
Lineage: Eukaryota; Metazoa; Chordata; Mammalia; Primates; Galagidae
Source: Ensembl
AUUCAAAAAUUUUUCAUCAUUCAACAAAUUGAAUCAUGAUGAGAUUUAUUAUUUGUCUGAUGUAUCU